GAUGAACGCUGGCGGCGUGCCUAAUACAUGCAAGUCGAGCGAACAGACGAGGAGCUUACUCCUCUGACGUUAGCGGCGGACGGGUGGGUAACACGUGGAUAACCUACCUAUAAGACUGGGAUAACUUCGGGAAACCGGAGCUAAUACCGGAUAACAUGUUGAACCGCAUGGUUCAACAGUGAAAGACGGUCUUGCUGUCACUUAUAGAUGGAUCCGCGUCGCAUUAGCUAGUUGGUAAGGUAACGGCUUACCAAGGCAACGAUGCGUAGCCGACCUGAGAGGGUGAUCGGCCACACUGGAACUGAGACACGGUCCAGACUCCUACGGGAGGCAGCAGUAGGGAAUCUUCCGCAAUGGGCGAAAGCCUGACGGAGCAACGCCGCGUGAGCGAAGAAGGUCUUCGGAUCGUAAAACUCUGUUAUUAGGGAAGAACAAAUGUGUAAGUAACUAUGCACGUCUUGACGGUACCUAAUCAGAAAGCCACGGCUAACUACGUG
This 497-nucleotide ribosomal RNA is filed under the name uncultured bacterium. Its description in RNAcentral is "partial 16S ribosomal RNA". It matches the Rfam family "Bacterial small subunit ribosomal RNA", at positions 28 to 507 of the family's 1533-position model. The record is from RNAcentral.